Molecule: ribosomal RNA, 395 nt
Filed under: uncultured bacterium
Lineage: Bacteria
Description: bacterial SSU rRNA
Rfam family: Bacterial small subunit ribosomal RNA
Source: RNAcentral
AGUGAACGCUGGCGGCAGGCCUAAUACAUGCAAGUCGAACGGCAGCACAGCAGAGCUUGCUCUGUGGGUGGCGAGUGGCGGACGGGUGAGGAAUACGUGGGAAUCUGCCCAGUCGUGGGGAUAACGUAGGGAAACUUACGCUAAUACCGCAUGCGCCCUUCGGGGAAAGCCGGGGACCUUCGGGCCUGGCGCGAUUGGAUGAGCCCACGUCGGAUUAGCUAGUUGGCGGGGUAAAGCCCACCAAGGCGACGAUCCGUAGCUGGUCUGAGAGGAUGAUCAGCCACACUGGAACUGAGACACGGUCCAGACUCCUACGGGAGGCAGCAGUAGGGAAUAUUGGACAAUGGGCGCAAGCCUGAUCCAGCCAUGCCGCGUGAGUGAAGAAGGCCCUCGGG